GCUUGUGGCCAUACCAACCUGGACACACCUGUUUAGGGUUAGACCUGGUUAGUACUGGGUCGGGAGACUGCCUGGAAAUACCAGGUGUUGUAAGCU
RNAcentral lists this ribosomal RNA (96 nucleotides) under Salmo salar (Atlantic salmon). Lineage: Eukaryota; Metazoa; Chordata; Actinopteri; Salmoniformes; Salmonidae. The record is from RNAcentral.